GAUGAGAACGUAGUGAAAUGCGAUAAGUAAUGUGAAUUGCAGAAUUCAGUGAAUCAUCGAAUCUUUGAACGCACAUUGCGCCCCCUGGUAUUCCGGGGGGCAUGCCUGUUCGAGCGUCAUUUCACCACUCAAGCCUCGCUUGGUAUUGGGCAACGCGGUCCGCCGCGUGCCUCAAAUCGACCGGCUGGGUCUUCUGUCCCCUAAGCGUUGUGGAAACUAUUCGCUAAAGGGUGUUCGGGAGGCUACGCCGUAAAACAACCCCAUUUCUAAGGUUGACCUCGGAUCAGGUAGGGAUACCCGCUGAACUUAAGCAUAUCAAUAAGCGGAGGA
RNAcentral lists this unclassified non-coding RNA (330 nucleotides) under soil metagenome. Its description in RNAcentral is "partial contains 5.8S ribosomal RNA, internal transcribed spacer 2, and large subunit ribosomal RNA". The stretch from base 5 to 119 matches the Rfam family "5.8S ribosomal RNA", at positions 40 to 154 of the family's 154-position model. The record is from RNAcentral.